UUAAGUCAAAAGAUACAUUACUUUGGAAAAAAGGAUCUGCUUUUAUUUCCACAGGAUAUGAGAGGCUCUGGAUUCAUUCUGGGUUAAGAAAAUCAGGUUUGAUCGAGGAAGAACCCCUGAAAAAUCUCCGAUGGGAAUGGAUGGCCCCGAUGAUCCAGCAUUUCAGAGUGCAUCUGUUGGAGUUUCCUCUGAGUUCUGCAUCCAGAACAGCUUCAAGGUUGCUGACUGAGAUGAACCAGCCUCACAGAAUAUUCCAGUUAGGACUUGACCAUAAUCCUAAAUUUUCUCAGGGUCCCCCAAAGAUUGUCAGCACCCCCAAUCAACAGGAAGUAAGUCUAAAGAACUACACUCACAUUCCCAAAAUAUUGGUUAUAAAUGUUUGUUUUCAUUUAAGGGGGGUAGGUUACAAUUUGUUAUUGGUUAUAGUCAAUCUCUUUCUAAAAGAAGAAAUGGGGAUAUGAUACAGAAAUGAUGGGGGAAAGGAUAGAUUAUUAUGAUGGGAAAAAAGGGUAGAUUAUUGAAUCUAUUUUAAUCCAAAAAAAACAACUAUUAAUCUUACAUAUUUUGCAUUGGCUUGGAUUUUUGUAUAUUGAUACAAAUUUGAGGUUAUUUUUGUUAGAACAUACUGUACAUACAUUUCUGCCCUUAUUCAAGGUAUUGUACCUAUACGGCUCAUUUAACAAUGUAAUGCCAAUUUCAAGUACUUGAAAGUUAUUAUUACAAACUAUUUAGGAUAAUAAAAAUUCAGGUUAGUAGUUAGUCACCUAUUACAAUCAAACUUGUAGUAGUAAUAGGUUUAUAUCAAACAGAUUUAUUUUAGAUAGAUAGGUUGUCUUCAAACACUUCAGAGAUCUACAGAAUAUAUCAUUUAAGAUAUUUUAAUAACAUAGGUUCUUUUUUUUUUUAAUGAUAAGAGACAUGUCUGCUCCUGGCAGUACCAAUCUAAUUCAGAGAAGAUGAUGGACAUUGAAGACACUCCAUAUGGAGUUUACUUUCUUUGUGGCAAAAGUUAGCCACUAGGCAAGAAAGUGCCCUUGCCUCGACUGUUGACAGUAUGCUGUGUAAAUUGGACAAGCAGAACACAAAAGAAAGUGACUGCCAAACUUUGCCAAGACAAGGUAGGACAGCCCUUCAGAAUAUUCUGCUUCACAGAAAAAUCUGUCAGAUACUAGGCCUGCCUGUAGGCUGAAGACGGAUGCUCCAAUGUUACAGAGGAAACUUUGGUGACUAUCCAGGCAGCCAGCUGUUUCUGUCAUUUCUCUCAUUUUUUGGAAGUUGCUUGCCUGCACUUCCUGUUUACACAGGUAAUAUUAUAGCCUUCUCAGGUCUCUGAUGAGGUUGCAGACUAGAUAGUUGUAGUUAUAGUUUUCCUUGUUACCAGACUCAGAAAAGGGUUGAAAGACAUCAAAAGAUAGUUUUGGGUUGUUAAUGCAAAUUAGGAUAGAAGGUGAAUUAGGCACAACCCUUUGGACUCACCAAGAUAGGCUAGAAAAUGGAGUAUUUUCCCUGAAUUUGUCAAAUGUUAAUGGACUAGACAUUGUUGAUGUAAUUAGUGCCUGUAUAUGUAGUAUAUAGUUAUUGUACUUAUUGUAUAUAGUUUUUCUUUAUUAGUUAUAACCUUCUCUUCUUACUUUAGACACAAAGGGGGAAAUGUUGUGAUAUUUUGUUUAUGUUCUGACAAGUAAGGCUUUCCUGAAGAUCAGAGGGUGGAGCUAGCCACUAGUUAACUAUAGAGGUCUGGAGAUCUGUACAGACAGGAGACUGGCCUCAACUGCUUUUCUAAUCCACAGUCCCAAGGUCUAUAUUCCUUCAGACAAAAGCAUGGUCAGGCCUAUCACAAAUUGCCUGUGCCAACUUCUGUCUUAGUUAGGGCUUCUAUUGCUAUAAAGAGACACUGUGACUAUGGCAACUCUUAUAAAGGAAAAAACAGUUAAUUGAGGUGGCUUACAUUUUCAGAGGUUUAGUCCAUUAUCAUCAUGGUGUGACAUGGUGGCAUGCAGGCAGACAUGAUGCUGGAGCUGAGAGUCCUACAUGAUGAUAGGCAGGCAACAGGAAGUGGUCUAUCUCACUGGGCGUGGAUUGAGCAUAUAUGAGACCUCAAAGCCUGCCUCCACAAUGACACACUUUCUCUAACAAGGCCAUACCUACUCCAACAAAGCCACACCUUCUAAUGGUACCAGUCCCUUUGGGGGUCAUUUUCUUUCAAACCACCACAGGCUCCCUCCAAGUCGCUGCACAAGAGAGGAGGCAGGCACCUGUGGCCAGAGGACAGAGCCCUUGAGCAAUACUCCAAGUACCACUGAAUACAGCCUCUGGCCCUAGGGAGGAGUUGCUGCUGAAGAGCUCAGGAAUAUGAAAAAAAAAUGACCCAACAUUUUGGUGGCCCACCCGGGGAUCUGCUCAAUUCUGGGAAGGCACCCCAGUCUCUGGCAACUUUAUUCUACUGGGUUUGGCUGACUGGAUUUCAGGAACGCAGCAGUGGUUUUUUGCCAGCCUUCUCUGCCUCUCCCUGCCUCAGGCAUCCCCAGCUCUCCACUGCAGCCCAGCUGGCUCCAGUCUGUGUCAGCAGGGUGUGCUGUGCUGGCCGCCUAGAGGAUAGCUCCUCCCCAGCAGGGGCAGUCCUACUUUUGAGAUAGAAUCACUCGCUGACUGGAACUCACCUAGCUGGUGAAGACAAGCAGUUGAUUCCAGAUGUAGCCAAGUUGACAACCAAGAUUAGCCAUCAUAGUCCUGAACCUAGUCACCUUGGAUUUGAGGAACACCAGCACUCGUCCAUCAACAUCAUUAUGACAAGGAUCUGAACCCAUCGCCAAACGAAGAUGGCAAUCUAUGCUGCUGAGGCUGCCUGAGGACCAGAAGUCAUCUUAGGAGAACCAGCUUGUCCCUUUGAGUCAUGACAGCAAAAACUUCUUUCCACUGAGGCAAGAAAAAAAGGGUAGGGAUAACUAUGGGGACUUCUCACCAGCUGAGAAGCAAGAGCUCCACAGUUAAAAGCACUGGCUGCUCUUGCAGAGGACCUGGGUUCAGUUCCCAGAAUCCACAUGGUAGUUUACAAAUAACUCUGUAACUCCAGUUUCAGGUGAUCCAACGGCCUCUUUGGGCCUCCUCAGACACCACAUGCAUGCAUGCACGUGCACAUGGUGUAUAUACAUACAUGCAGACAAACAUUUGUACACAUAAAAUAAAAGUAAAUCUUUCUUAAAGAAUUCCAAGGCAAUGAACAUUAGUUUAUGGCCUUUCUCCCUUUCUUACUGAAAACCUGCAGGUUCUUGGGACCCUUGCCAGAAAUCUCAUUUGCAAUAAAAGAACC
Peromyscus californicus insignis is the source of this 3310-nucleotide long non-coding RNA. RefSeq lists it as uncharacterized. The transcript is spliced from 5 exons. The record is from RefSeq and is a predicted model, not a curated record. NCBI's taxonomy places the organism in Eukaryota, Metazoa, Chordata, Mammalia, Rodentia, Cricetidae.